UUGGACCUGAUAGCAGACAAGACUACCCGCUAACUAA
This 37-nucleotide ribosomal RNA is filed under the name Globisporangium ultimum var. sporangiiferum. RNAcentral's name for it is "partial 28S ribosomal RNA". RNAcentral also lists the same sequence under 1 other name. Lineage: Eukaryota; Oomycota; Peronosporomycetes; Pythiales; Pythiaceae. The record is from RNAcentral.